GGGCAGUAUGAGUACAGACAGACCCAAACGGAAUAUCAUCAGAAAAAGAUAUGACAUCAGUGACGGGAUGCCGUGGUGUGAAGAACGUCUGGUCCGCAAAGUUCUCUUCCUUUCUCUCAGGGAAUUCAGAGACAAACACCGUGCUGCACACAUUCACUCACACAAGUGUCCACAUAAACGCAAGUCAAAAAUACACACUCACAUGCUCUGCAAAAGACACUGACAAAACCUAAUACACACAAGAAAACACAAGCAAGAAAAAACAUGCGCACACAACAACAAAGACUCACAUGCAGACCACUUAAUACAUCCACACAGGAGAACACACAUACUGCACAAAACAUGCACGUUUCAAAGCGCCUACACACUGAACACACAAACAAACGGCAGACAACUGACUUGACUCGGGUCUCGCAAUCUCCAGACAGUAAAUCUACUCGGAUACUACGGAACACACAAACUCAGACGAAAAUGUGUAAAAGCAAAGUUGCACACACUCUGCAGCGUACUUGCACGGACCAGAAGAGGUCUUCCACCAGGACACUGCGCUCAAAUAAAACACAAAACACGCUGUCGCUGCGGAACUCAAAAUACACAAAACCUGCAAAACAUACACACACUGCUCAGCACACACACUCACUGAACAGCAUGUGCAGAUCUAAGAACACAAAGACGCCACUGAGAGCUGCUCUCUCAGCCAGGACUCUGAGGUCGCACACCCCAACAAGUGUCUGUGGCUCUGUAGUUAACACUAUGAUCAAGCAUCGGGCAGCUGGUCCAAAAUGGAGUUGGUCCUUACAGACGCGACCUCGACAACGCCAUCCUACCAGCAAUCGUGGUGAUGAAGAUGAUUGUGCCAAAAACAGGUUCAGCAGCAUUGCCACACAACAUGGCAUUCUUAACAAGUAAGCGAGACAGGGAGCCAGGUGACAGUCAGCAUUUGCCUUCCUGUCACAAGGCCACA
Oreochromis aureus is the source of this 964-nucleotide long non-coding RNA. RefSeq lists it as uncharacterized. The transcript has 4 exons. The record is from RefSeq and is a predicted model, not a curated record. Lineage: Eukaryota; Metazoa; Chordata; Actinopteri; Cichliformes; Cichlidae.